GAGAGUGGGUAGUCCGCACGAGCGCACCUUACUUUUAGUUGCCAUCAUUUAGUUGGGCACUCUGAAAGAACUGCCAGUGAUAAGCUGGAGGAAGGUGGGGAUGACGUCAAGUCCUCAUGGCCCUUACGUGUUGGGCUACACACGUGCUACAAUGGUAUCUACAACAGGAAGCAAAACAGCGAUGUUAAGCAAAUCCCGAAAAGAUACCUCAGUUCGGAUUGCACUCUGCAACUCGAGUGCAUGAAGCUGGAAUUACUAGUAAUCGUGGAUCAGCGUGCCACGGUGAAUACGUUCCCGGGUCUUGUACACACCGCCCGUCACACCAUGGGAGUUGGUUCUACCUUAAGGCAAAGCUUAAAACCUUUGACCACGGUAUAGUCAGCGACUGGGGUGAAGUCGUAACAAGGUAGCCGUAGGGGAACCUGCGGCUGGAUUACCUCCUUUCU
This 446-nucleotide ribosomal RNA is filed under the name uncultured Pelagibacterales bacterium. RNAcentral describes it as "bacterial SSU rRNA". It matches the Rfam family "Bacterial small subunit ribosomal RNA", at positions 1072 to 1533 of the family's 1533-position model. Lineage: Bacteria; Pseudomonadati; Pseudomonadota; Alphaproteobacteria; Candidatus Pelagibacterales. The record is from RNAcentral.